GACGGAAGGUGCAAGCGUUGCUCGGAAUCACUGGGCGUAAAGGGUGCGUAGGCGGCUUGGUGGGUCUGGUGUGAAAGCCCCGGGCUCAGCCCGGGAAGGGCGCUAGAAACUGCCGAGCUCGAGUGCCGGAGGGGAGAGUGGAAUUCCUGGUGUAGCGGUGAAAUGCGUAGAUAUCAGGAGGAAUACCGGUGGCGAAAGCGGCAUCCUGGACCGGCAUUGACGCUGAGGCGCGAAAGCCAGGGGAGCAAACGGG
This 253-nucleotide ribosomal RNA is filed under the name uncultured bacterium. Its description in RNAcentral is "partial 16S ribosomal RNA". It matches the Rfam family "Bacterial small subunit ribosomal RNA", at positions 524 to 776 of the family's 1533-position model. The record is from RNAcentral.